GGAGGAUCCAAGCGUUAUCCGGAAUCAUUGGGUUUAAAGGGUCCGUAGGCGGUUUAGUAAGUCAGUGGUGAAAGCCCAUCGCUCAACGGUGGAACGGCCAUUGAUACUGCUAGACUUGAAUUAUUAGGAAGUAACUAGAAUAUGUAGUGUAGCGGUGAAAUGCUUAGAGAUUACAUGGAAUACCAAUUGCGAAGGCGGGUUACUACUAAUUGAUUGACGCUGAUGGACGAAAGCGUGGGUAGCGAACAGGAUUAGAUACCCUGGUAGUCCACGCCGUAAGCGAUGGAUACUAGCUGUUGGGGGCAACUUCAGUGGCUAAGCGAAAGUGAUAAGUAUCCCACCUGGGGAGUACGAACGCAAGUUUG
RNAcentral lists this ribosomal RNA (365 nucleotides) under uncultured bacterium. Its description in RNAcentral is "bacterial SSU rRNA". It matches the Rfam family "Bacterial small subunit ribosomal RNA", at positions 527 to 896 of the family's 1533-position model. The record is from RNAcentral.